GCGGCCUCGGGGCACGGCGGGCCCAGGCCGGAGGAGCUUUCGGUGGCGCGACCCCGCUGGCAUGCUCCCGGCCUCGGCCUCGGCCUCGGCCUUGGCCUCCGGGCCUCCAGCGCACGCGGGGCGUCCAGGGCCUCAUCUUCCCCUGGGGACCGCCCGGCCGUGUCCCGCUGCCCUCGGCGCAGGGGUGGGAGUUGCAGAGAGGAAGAGUCGCUAACCCGGAGUGUUUCUUAAAACUUGGCUGACCUGUGACCUGCGGAUUUGGAGGCUGAAUUCUCCGAGCACCUGAAGCUACUGCAGGAUAUAAUCUAAGAAAAUAAGGGGAAGAAAACAAGAAAGAGGAAGACAUUGGAUCCAAGAAAUGGGGGAUCUAUCACCUUACAGAUGAAAAGAGAAUCUACAUGAUCUUUGUGAAGAUAUGACCUUGGGACUUGCUUUAGCCAGUGGAAUGGAAGCAGAAGUAACCUGUAAUUUCCAGACUGGAAAUGUUCCAGAUAGUACCAGCUCUUUAAACCUGAGUCCUAGAGUAAAGAUGGCAGAGUGGAGCCUCAAGCCAACGUGUGACAGAUAUGUAAAUAGACCAAGAAAUAAAUCUUUGGGUGUUUUGAAGCA
This 609-nucleotide long non-coding RNA is filed under the name Homo sapiens (human). RNAcentral describes it as "NEMP2 divergent transcript, transcript variant 5 (NEMP2-DT)". Lineage: Eukaryota; Metazoa; Chordata; Mammalia; Primates; Hominidae. The record is from RNAcentral.